GAUGAAGAACGUAGCGAAAUGCGAAAAGUAAUGUGAAUUGCAGAAUUCAGUGAACCAUCGAAUCUUUGAACGCACAUUGCGCCCGCUGGAACUCCGGCGGGCACGCCUGUCCGAGCGUCAUUUCACCACUCAAGCCUGGCUUGGUGUUGGGCGACGUCCUCUUUGGGGACGCGCCUCGAAACGCUCGGCGGCGUGGCACCGGCUUUAAGCGUAGCAGAAUCUUUCGCUUUGGAAGUCGGGGCCCCGUCUGCCGGAAGACCUGCUCGCAAGGUUGACCUCGGAUCAGGCAGGGAUACCCGCUGAACUUAAGCAUAUCAAUAAGCGGAGGA
RNAcentral lists this unclassified non-coding RNA (329 nucleotides) under soil metagenome. RNAcentral's name for it is "partial contains 5.8S ribosomal RNA, internal transcribed spacer 2, and large subunit ribosomal RNA". The stretch from base 1 to 120 matches the Rfam family "5.8S ribosomal RNA", at positions 35 to 154 of the family's 154-position model. The record is from RNAcentral.